Long non-coding RNA from Pipra filicauda (Wire-tailed manakin), 1369 nucleotides. RefSeq lists it as uncharacterized. The transcript has 2 exons. Lineage: Eukaryota; Metazoa; Chordata; Aves; Passeriformes; Pipridae. The record is from RefSeq and is a predicted model, not a curated record.
UGCCACCUCCCAGUGCUGCAAGUCAAGUCUGUGUUUCUAGGAAUCAAGAACUGUAGAGGCAGCAUAAGGGCACAAGUACAGGAUCAUCCAAACUACCAAACCGUCAGUUCCUGGCAUGACUUUAGCCCACACUGUCCAGUAUUCCUCUGGACAACAUAUGGUUUGAAGGACAGAGCAAAUCAAGGGCAUUCCCAGGAGAUGCUUUGAGGUGGAUCUUGGACUUUUCUUUUAGAGACAAUCCUUGGCUGCAUUGUAUUACUAUGACUAUGUCACAGAAUUAUAGGAAAGGAAAACUGUAGGAGUUGCUGCAGAUCAUCAAAUCCAACCAGAUCACCAGAUUCAGCCAUGCUGCUCAAGACAGGGUGUGGAAGCAGCACCGGAAGUAUCAAAGGUGAGAGAAGAGCAAUAGGAAUGACCUAAGAAUAGGAAUGGAGCACCUCUUUCUGGAGGCCAUCUCCAUCCACAUGGAUGACAAGAAGGUGAUCAGAAGUAGUCAGCAUCAAUUCACUAGAGGUGAAUCAGGCUUGACCAACCUGAUUGUUUUCUACAAUGAAACAACUACCUGGAUGGAUGAGAGGAGAACAGUGGAUAUUGUCUACCUCGACUUAAGCAAGACUUUCAACACUGUUUCUCACAACAUCCUCAUAGACAAACUGAGGAAGUGUGGACUGGACGAGUGGUCAGUGAGGUGACUUGAGAAUGGCAGAUCCCAGAGGGUUGUGGCACAGGGUCUAGUCAGAGGCCUGCCAUUACUGGUGUUCCCCAAGUUCAAUACUGAGCCCAGUAUUAACAUAUUCAUCAGUGACUUUGAUGAAAGAGCCUCUGUGAUGGACCAAACUGAUUGGAUGGGCUGGUUGAGCCCUGCAAUCUAUUGUUUCUCUGAUAAGACUGGUGACUUAAACAAAGUGGUUUUGUGCCAGAUAAAGGAAAAGACUGAUAAGAAGCAGAUCCUUCAGAGGUGGAGUAAUGCUUUUUAUCAUGCCAAUCUCCUCCCUCCUGAUAAUGCAUCUGUAUCUGACAGUGUAAAACUCCGCCACACUGGAAGUAUAGGAGCAUUCUCACUUAAGUCUGAACAUAUAUAACCAGGUGAACCCUUUAUUGUGUGGGCACCUACCUCCAAGAGAUCAAGACUGAGACCAUCACUCUGACCAUGGACAUUGAAAUUGCAUCAAUCAAGUCUCAUCACUGGAUUGACAGGUGGUGAUAUUUUUCCUCUCCACUAUCUACACUUGUCCCUUCUGUCUCUUUCUCUUUUCCUUAUAUAUUUUCUUCAUGAUACAGUUUAUGUUUUUAUAGAAAAGAACUAAAAUGGCUACACACCUCCUAUCUGUUGCAACCAAAUUUUUUUAAAAUAAACCUGCUGAAUAUA